UUUUCUCGUCUUUCAAUUGCACACCCUCUCAUCUUUGUUUCUGUCCUCUGCAGGUGGUGGCGGCGAUGGGCUCUCGGUGAGGGAGCUUGGGAAGUUGGCAAAUGGAUCUCGGUACCCUCCCUUCUGUUUUGUUACUGAAAGUCCAUUUUUCCAUAUCUAUUUUGUUUUUGUAUUUCUCUCUUCCCUUCUCUAUGUUGGUCUUUUUCCCAUUUUUUUUCUUUCUUUUUAAUAAAAUGGCCAAAUAAGCUAUAUGUAUUUCUGAUUGUUUGUUUUGGAUUUAGACAGAGUUGGAAGUUUUACAAUAGGUUUUCUUUCAUUUGUAAAUCCGGUGUUCUUGAUUUUCUUAGUUGUUUGAAGAUUUUUUUUUCUGGUUUUGUUGCUUGUUAAUUAGGAAUAUAUAUUUUGAUUUGUUUUUUGAAAUUGAUUUGAUAAUCUGAUAUGGGAAAUUAGUAAGGAAAGAUGCUUUCAUGAUUCUUGAUGGUGGUUUUGUACCAAGUCAGCUCAAAUUAUAUAUUUCGCUUCUUUGUUUCUUUGAGUAUUUCUUCAUUUUCUUGUUGCCAAGGUUAUUAUUUUCAAUAACUCAGAUUUUAUGGCUGUUAAUGGUUAUCAUAGCAGGAAAAAACUGCAUUUCUCACCCAUUUGUGAAUUAAUUCAAGCGAAAUAGAUGGUUAGAUAAAUGAAAUAGAAGCUGCUCGUGCUCACUUUGGUAGAAAAUUUUCAAACUUGGCAUUUUCUUUGUAUAGCUCUCUCUAUAAAAUUGUCUACUAUAUUUAUAUCUAUGUUAAUGAAGCAACUAGUAAAUUGUUGAAACAAUAAAUUGCUGCUAGUGUAGAUAUUUCAGCUUAGUAGCUUACAUAAGUACCCAUGAUUUCUCUCAUCACUUGUUCUUUUUCUGCAACUCAUAAGAUUUAACCCUAAAAAUUAGAAUGGGUAAAUCAUUUGCUUUGAGCCUUAGUUAUGUAUUAGUGUUAGUGUUUUGUUUGUUUGUUUCUUUAACUUUUAGUUUUGCUUUUUUGAUUUAUUCAGAUUUUUCUUUCAAAGCUCCAUUUUCCCUUUCCUAUGUUUUUUUCAUUUCCUUCUAUUUUUUCUUUCGACUGUUUUUUAUUUUUUUCUUUAACAUCUUUAGUGCAUUUUGCUACUGGUUUAAUGACAUAGAAUAUGUAUUUUGCUAUUGGCUUUGGUGUAUUUUGUUACUAGUUUGUGUUGUUUUUUUACUGCUACUGUUUGUCUAUUUUGGUACUACUAUUGGUCUAUUUUUUUAAAUUUGUUAAAUUAAUCAUGCCACAAUUACAUAGGUCCAAUUACUUUAACAAUUUCCUUGAAUCUAACUGGGCAUUCUUUUUAGGUUUUGCUAAAGUACUUUCUAACUUUAUUAUUGUUUUUGAGUCAUUUUGUCAUAUAUAUUAUCUUCAUUUUCUGCAGGUUAGCAGUGGUUUAUUUAACAUUAGAAUUCAUACUACUUGUUUCACAUGGUUUCUAUUUUAUUGUUUGAUCAAUAAUUGUUACCUCAAUUUUAAAUUGGUAACUUCUAAGUUAUGUGGCCUUCCUAUGUGAAUGUUAUGUGCUAAGAAAUUGAAUGUCAUCAUUAGAGUAUAUAUUCCCUUUGAAUAAUCAUAGUUUAGUCCUAUGAAACAAACAUAAGAGGUUUUGUCUUUAGGCUUUUAAGAGAUCAAUACAGGAGGGAGUUUGUUUACAAGCAUAUAACAUGGAGACUUUAAAUAUAUUCUAUUCCAUAUGCAGUGUAGCAAGUUCCUGUUUUAAAAUUACUCACGAAGUUGUUAGUUUCUUCUGUAGUUUUUUUUUUUCUUUUUCAGAUUUCAAAUUAAUAUCAAGAAAGUGUUUUGAAUAUUGAUUAUAUAUAUUUGUUUCUAAUUGAGAUAACACAGAGAAAAUUAAAACUAGAGAGGUUGUAUGCUCGCUAAUUCAAACACUCACAGGGCCUCUCUUUCUCACGCUCUCCUCUUUCCCUCGCCUCUCUCAAAUUCUCACCUCACUGAAGCCUUUCUCGGAGUAGCUCAAGAGUGGGUAUAAGUCUUGGUUUCUCCCCUUGUUGCUCAUUUGGUUCUUCGAUCCCCUAUUUCACAAUCAGUUAAAACUUUUCUGGAUAGCUGCCUCCAAGAGAAGAGGCAAGAUACUUUGUGUGCAAGCAAUCUUUCACGGGAGACUCUUACUUUUGUUUGCAUUUUGCAAGUGGU
Molecule: long non-coding RNA, 2195 nt
Organism: Humulus lupulus (European hop)
Lineage: Eukaryota; Viridiplantae; Streptophyta; Magnoliopsida; Rosales; Cannabaceae
Exons: 3
Source: RefSeq, a predicted model, not a curated record